CGCCUGGGGAGUACGGGUGAGGUAGCGGCUCACCAAGGCGACGACGGGUAGCCGGCCUGAGAGGGUGACCGGCCACACUGGGACUGAGACACGGCCCAGACUCCUACGGGAGGCAGCAGUGGGGAAUAUUGCACAAUGGGCGCAAGCCUGAUGCAGCAACGCCGCGUGGGGGACGACGGCCUUCGGGUUGUAAACCUCUUUUAGCAGGGAAGAAGCGCAAGUGACGGUACCUGCAGAAAAAGCACCGGCUAACUACGUGCCAGCAGCCGCGGUAAUACGUAGGGUGCAAGCGUUGUCCGGAAUUAUUGGGCGUAAAGAGCUCGUAGGCGGUUUGUCGCGUCUGCUGUGAAAAUCCGAGGCUCAACCUCGGACCUGCAGUGGGUACGGGCAAACUAGAGUGCGGUAGGGGAGAUUGGAAUUCCUGGUGUAGCGGUGGAAUGCGCAGAUAUCAGGAGGAACACCAAUGGCGAAGGCAGAUCUCUGGGCCGUAACUGACGCUGAGGAGCGAAAGCGUGGGGAGCGAACAGGAUUAGAUACCCUGGUAGUCCACGCCGUAAACGGUGGGAACUAGAUGUGGGGUCCGUUCCACGGAUUCCGUGCCGUAGCUAACGCAUUAAGUUCCCCGCCUGGGGAGUACGG
RNAcentral lists this ribosomal RNA (639 nucleotides) under uncultured Actinomycetes bacterium. RNAcentral's name for it is "bacterial SSU rRNA". It matches the Rfam family "Bacterial small subunit ribosomal RNA", at positions 234 to 885 of the family's 1533-position model. The record is from RNAcentral. Lineage: Bacteria; Bacillati; Actinomycetota; Actinomycetes.